GUGACAGCCCCGUACACAAAAAUGCACAUGCUGUGAGCUCGAUGAGUAGGGCGGGACACGUGGUAUCCUGUCUGAAUAUGGGGGGACCAUCCUCCAAGGCUAAAUACUCCUGACUGACCGAUAGUGAACCAGUACCGUGAGGGAAAGGCGAAAAGAACCCCGGCGAGGGGAGUGAAAAAGAACCUGAAACCGUGUACGUACAAGCAGUGGGAGCACAGAGCAAUCUGUGUGACUGCGUACCUUUUGUAUAAUGGGUCAGCGACUUAUAUUCUGUAGCAAGGUUAACCGAAUAGGGGAGCCGAAGGGAAACCGAGUCUUAACUGGGCGUUAAGUUGCAGGGUAUAGACCCGAAACCCGGUGAUCUAGCCAUGGGCAGGUUGAAGGUUGGGUAACACUAACUGGAGGACCGAACCGACUAAUGUUGAAAAAUUAGCGGAUGACUUGUGGCUGGGGGUGAAAGGCCAAUCAAACCGGGAGAUAGCUGGUUCUCCCCGAAAGCUAUUUAGGUAGCGCCUCGUGAAUUCAUCUCCGGGGGUAGAGCACUG
This 545-nucleotide ribosomal RNA is filed under the name Escherichia coli. Its description in RNAcentral is "partial 23S ribosomal RNA". It matches the Rfam family "Bacterial large subunit ribosomal RNA", at positions 364 to 912 of the family's 2925-position model. Lineage: Bacteria; Pseudomonadati; Pseudomonadota; Gammaproteobacteria; Enterobacterales; Enterobacteriaceae. The record is from RNAcentral.